Long non-coding RNA from Venturia canescens, 979 nucleotides. RefSeq lists it as uncharacterized. The record is from RefSeq and is a predicted model, not a curated record. The transcript has 4 exons. Lineage: Eukaryota; Metazoa; Arthropoda; Insecta; Hymenoptera; Ichneumonidae.
UUUUGUGACCUCCAUAAACUUAUGGCCGUUUCUCCGACGCGGUUCAAACUCAGUUCAAUUUUUUUCAUAUAGUUACGAGAUAGGAUGAACCGAGUUUAAACUCGGAUUAACGUUGGAGAAAACAGGCAUUAACGUGAUAACUAAAAUUAGAAUCUCACCUUUCGGUGUUUGUUCGGUGGUUAUCUGUGGUGCAAUUGACACCUUUGCUAAUCAAAAGAACGAGUGAUAAUUUUUUCAAGUUAUACACAACUAUUUGCAACACAAGGAAACUCUUAGAAGAACGAGACUUGCAUUGACAAUUCAUGAAUAUUUGCUCAGUACCAACCUAUAAAUGUCGCCUUCGUUGAUUAAAAAUUAAAAAAUGAGAAGAUGUUUCGAGAUCUAAGAAAAAUUACCAUCAUUCUGACAGACUGCAGUAAACAUGGUCGUGAAGGUCACGAACGGUUACUCGAGAGAAUUAGCAACAUUCGAAUGCUUUUGUCUUUCACAAGGAAGCAAACUAAAUGUGCGCACUGGGCAUAAUGCUUUAUGAACCGUGCCGAUGGAUCCGUGAUUCCCUUGACCCAGCGUGGCAUCCAAUAGUACGGAAUGAAACUUUCGGCGUAUCCACCAAAAUGCUGCUCAAAAACUCGCCUGGAAAUCAUGAGGAUAGUGAACACGUCAACGGGGAAAAAUCGUCUGAAACUGCAAUUUAACAACGUUCACAAAAUACCUGUAAUAAUAAGCUUCCUUCGUUUUUGGUGUACAAUGCGGAAACGUAACUGGAGCCUUCUCCAGGUCAGAGUCUUGAACUCUUUCUUCAACGAUUUCUUGAAUGAUUUGGAACAAAGAUUUUUUUAUUGACGCUACACCAUCGCUGAAGGCUUCCUUGUGUCGCCAUAAAAUGUUUUGUGGCAGUAAAUUUAUUCCGUCGAACGAUGACCUCAGCAAAUGCUUCUCCACUCCGUCUUUGGAUAAAUAAACAAAAUGAAUAAUGGAA